ACUCAAAUGAAUAGACGGGGGCCCGCACAAGCGGUGGAGUAUGUGGUUUAAUUCGAUGCAACGCGAAGAACCUUACCUGGUCUUGACAUCCUAGGAAUCCUGCAGAGAUGCGGGAGUGCCGCAAGGAGCCUAGAGACAGGUGCUGCAUGGCUGUCGUCAGCUCGUGUCGUGAGAUGUUGGGUUAAGUCCCGCAACGAGCGCAACCCUUGUCCUUAGUUGCCAGCAUUCAGUUGGGCACUCUAAGGAGACCGCCGGUGACAAACCGGAGGAAGGUGGGGAUGACGUCAAGUCCUCAUGGCCCUUAUGACCAGGGCUACACACGUACUACAAUGGCCGGUACAAAGGGUCGCCAACCCGCGAGGGGGAGCUAAUCCCAGAAAGCCGGUCGUAGUCCGGAUCGGAGUCUGCAACUCGACUCCGUGAAGUCGGAAUCGCUAGUAAUCGCGGAUCAGCAAUGCCGCGGUGAAUACGUUCCCGGGCCUUGCACACACCGCCCGU
This 498-nucleotide ribosomal RNA is filed under the name uncultured bacterium. RNAcentral describes it as "partial 16S ribosomal RNA". It matches the Rfam family "Bacterial small subunit ribosomal RNA", at positions 899 to 1397 of the family's 1533-position model. The record is from RNAcentral.